RNAcentral lists this ribosomal RNA (534 nucleotides) under uncultured bacterium. RNAcentral's name for it is "bacterial SSU rRNA". It matches the Rfam family "Bacterial small subunit ribosomal RNA", at positions 777 to 1304 of the family's 1533-position model. The record is from RNAcentral.
AAUAGAUACCCUGGUAGUCCACGCCGUAAACGGUGGGCACUAGGUGUGGGCGACAUUCCACGUCGUCCGUGCCGCAGCUAACGCAUUAAGUGCCCCGCCUGGGGAGUACGGCCGCAAGGCUAAAACUCAAAGGAAUUGACGGAGGCCCGCACAAGCGGCGGAGCAUGUGGCUUAAUUCGACGCAACGCGAAGAACCUUACCAAGGCUUGACAUACACCGGAAACGUCCAGAGAUGGGCGCCCCCUUGUGGUCGGUGUACAGGUGGUGCAUGGCUGUCGUCAGCUCGUGUCGUGAGAUGUUGGGUUAAGUCCCGCAACGAGCGCAACCCUUGUCCCGUGUUGCCAGCAGGCCCUUGUGGUGCUGGGGACUCACGGGAGACCGCCGGGGUCAACUCGGAGGAAGGUGGGGACGACGUCAAGUCAUCAUGCCCCUUAUGUCUUGGGCUGCACACGUGCUACAAUGGCCGGUACAAUGAGCUGCGAUACCGCGAGGUGGAGCGAAUCACAAAAAGCCGGUCUCAGUUCGGAUUGGGGU